This 254-nucleotide ribosomal RNA is filed under the name uncultured Acidobacteriota bacterium. Its description in RNAcentral is "uncultured Acidobacteria bacterium partial 16S ribosomal RNA". It matches the Rfam family "Bacterial small subunit ribosomal RNA", at positions 524 to 776 of the family's 1533-position model. The record is from RNAcentral. Lineage: Bacteria; Pseudomonadati; Acidobacteriota.
UACGUAGGGAGCAAGCGUUGUUCGGAUUUACUGGGCGUAAAGGGCGCGUAGGCGGCAUGACAAGUCACUUGUGAAAUCUUCGGGCUUAACCCGGAACGGCCAAGUGAUACUGUCGCGCUAGAGUGCGGAAGGGGCAAUCGGAAUUCUCGGUGUAGCGGUGAAAUGCGUAGAUAUCGAGAGGAACACCUGAGGUGAAGACGGGUUGCUGGGCCGACACUGACGCUGAGUGCGCGAAAGCCAGGGGAGCAAACGGG